CCAGACUCCUACGGGAGGCAGCAGUGGGGAAUAUUGCACAAUGGGGGGAACCCUGAUGCAGCGACGCCGCGUGAGCGAUGAAGUAUUUCGUUAUGUAAAGCUCUAUCAGCAGGGAAGAAAAUGACGGUACCUGAGUAAGAAGCCCCGGCUAACUACGUGCCAGCAGCCGCGGUAAUACGUAGGGGGCAAGCGUUAUCCGGAUUUACUGGGUGUAAAGGGAGCGUAGACGGCAUGGCAAGUCAGAUGUGAAAGCCCGGGGCUCAACCCCGGGACUGCAUUUGAAACUGUCAGGCUGGAGUGCAGGAGAGGUAAGUGGAAUUCCUAGUGUAGCGGUGAAAUGCGUAGAUAUUAGGAGGAACACCAGUGGCGAAGGCGGCUUACUGGACUGUAACUGACGUUGAGGCUCGAAAGCGUGGGGAGCAAACAGGAUUAGAUACCCUAGUA
This 444-nucleotide ribosomal RNA is filed under the name uncultured bacterium. RNAcentral's name for it is "bacterial SSU rRNA". It matches the Rfam family "Bacterial small subunit ribosomal RNA", at positions 331 to 792 of the family's 1533-position model. The record is from RNAcentral.